CCUACGGGGGGCAGCAGUGGGGAAUAUUGGACAAUGGGGGGAACCCUGAUCCAGCCAUGCCGCGUGUGUGAAGAAGGCCCUCGGGUUGUAAAGCACUUUCAGUGAGGAAGAACGCCUGGUGGUUAAUACCCAUCAGGAAAGACAUCACUCACAGAAGAAGCACCGGCUAACUCCGUGCCAGCAGCCGCGGUAAUACGGAGGGUGCGAGCGUUAAUCGGAAUUACUGGGCGUAAAGCGCGCGUAGGUGGCUUGAUAAGCCGGUUGCGAAAGCCCCGGGCUCAACCUGGGAACGGCAUCCGGAACUGUCAAGCUAGAGUGCAGGAGAGGAAGGUAGAAUUCCCGGUGUAGCGGUGAAAUGCGUAGAGAUCGGGAGGAAUACCAGUGGCGAAGGCGGCCUUCUGGACUGACACUGACACUGAGGUGCGAAAGCGUGGGUAGCAAACAGGAUUAGAUACCCUAGUAGUC
Molecule: ribosomal RNA, 465 nt
Filed under: Vreelandella stevensii
Lineage: Bacteria; Pseudomonadati; Pseudomonadota; Gammaproteobacteria; Oceanospirillales; Halomonadaceae
Description: partial 16S ribosomal RNA
Rfam family: Bacterial small subunit ribosomal RNA
Source: RNAcentral